RNAcentral lists this unclassified non-coding RNA (484 nucleotides) under Hevea brasiliensis (rubber tree). Lineage: Eukaryota; Viridiplantae; Streptophyta; Magnoliopsida; Malpighiales; Euphorbiaceae. The record is from RNAcentral.
GCUUUCUCCAACCAUAUGGUUAAAAAGAAUUAUAUAUAUUUUCUGUUUGCAUUAAAAAAAAAUAACAAUAAGAAAAACAACUAUCACGUAUGAUCAUAUAAUUCCUUGGUACAUAUGUGCUAACUGGAACACUAAUUUAAAUAAUCCAAUGAGAAAGCUGAAAAUUCCGGUGAGAGUGAUAUAUACCUGGCAAAUUACGAGCAGUUGAUGACAAAUCUGCAAACCAUCGAAAUGUCAAAAGGGAAUUGGAAUGAAGCAUACCCCAGUGGCCGUGUGCUUUCCUUUACUUGCAUUUCCUCAUUCAAUAAAACACUCCAAAAGUAGGAUGUUUUCUGAUUUUGAACCCCUCAUUUAAUUUCUUCUCUCCCAAUAACCUUGGCAACUCUAAAACAGCUCAUGAUUACCAGGAUGUUUUGCACGUCUGCAGCUCUGCUUCAUAUUAUUACAGACAGUAAAACUCGCAAAAGAUGGGGACUAUUAAUGG